GAGUCCACACACUCCAUGCCCACACUCGUGGCAUCCUUUAGCCAGAAAAUAGCACUUCUCGACAUGGAGUAGACAAUCCAAAGAAACCAAGAAAAUGUCAAAGGUGAGUCAAGAGAUAUCAACUUCCUGAUCUUUGACGCAAAAUAUACUUCCUGGAAGCAAAAAUAACAAACACUUCGGAGUAGACUCCAAACCCACGAAAAUGAACAAAAGAUGAACACUUGCAAAAAAAACCUUAAAAUGUAAAUAAAGUAGAAAAACAAGAAAAAGAC
RNAcentral lists this long non-coding RNA (272 nucleotides) under Gossypium raimondii (Peruvian cotton). RNAcentral describes it as "long non-coding RNA (GRAI_LNC009279)". The record is from RNAcentral. Lineage: Eukaryota; Viridiplantae; Streptophyta; Magnoliopsida; Malvales; Malvaceae.